UUCAAAGAGCCAAGGAGAUACCGCGUGCAUUUGUUUAUGAGUACGCUCUCGUCUUCGCGAAGGGACUGUAGUAUAUUAUGGUGAUGGUUCAUGCCGGUACAUGUUGCUGAAUGUACUGAAGUUGUUACGUUCGUAUAGGCGCCGUUGAAAGGGUAAAAGGCGAACCAUUGAUCGCCAUUGACUACUCAUCCUACUGAUCGAGUACUAUGAACGAUAUGAACGCCAUGAACCAAAUUAGUCUGCUUCUCACGGACAACCGCUGGAAACCGUGUUCACGGGACGGAGCUUACACCGCUUUCGUGCCGCUUACAGUGGCUUACAGUUAGUUGUGCUGGGUGGCUUUAGUGGCAUGGUUGGUUGCGUUAUGUGUAUUUGUGCACAUGCCAUCAGGUAAUUGAACAGUGGGAUGAUGGUUCAACAGAGUGAAGGUGCUUGUGACACUGAAAUUAAGGUUUUUUUGUGGAGCAUGAAGUUUUUGUGAAAAUGAAAUGUAAUGAAAUUUUAAAUCACACGUUACAUUACAUUUCAAUCGUUUGAAGUUAGACUGAAAACCAUGUGAACUGUGUUUCUUUACUGAUUUGUUGCUGUUGAAAAAUGCAGUGUUACAUAAAGAGGAACUUCUAUCUUGUAAGUAACAGUAUGAAUAAUUGACUGUGACAAAGACCUUGAAUUUGCAUAGUAAAUAUACCAAUACUCAACAUCAUUUCUGAUGUCUGUAAAGUUGUCACUACCAUUUAUAUUUUUUGUGUUCUUUCUUUUCAUAUUUCUUAUUAUUUCAACAUACCAGUAAACAAGACUCAUUUACAAUAUUAUUUUAAAAUAUUCUGAAAACAUAUUAUGUGUGACAUGAUUUAUACUUAUUUGUAUUUAAUUUUUAAACAUGUUCCACAUAAUGUAUAUCUUGUAAUUAAACACUGUAGCUUCAGAAAUUCAACAGAAUCACCAGUGGUAAAGCAAUCAUUGCUACUUGUGGAAGGAGAACAGUACUGUCACUUUAACUCAUGAUAAUUUAGUUACAGUAAUCUGAAUAUAACAUAAGUGAUCUGAUCAUGAUCAGCAGCACAAAAAAUAUAUUUUUCAAUACAUGUUACAGUGUGAUAAUUUAUUUCAUACAGUGAAGGUCCUACAUCAUAAACAGUAUUUAUGUUUAUAGCACUGUAUUCUUAUAAAAUGUUUCUUUAAUAUGUCUACAAUAAAGUAAUUAAGAUUUGUCUAGAACUGUACUGACUGCAAGAGUAUUACAGAAGAUCCUAUUUAUUAGAAGUUACAUUUUCCGUAAUUUAUUUAUCCUGCUGUUAAGUUUGAAGGCUAAGAACUUCAAAUUAUGUACAUGUUUCUCAAGAUAAAAAUUUAAUGAUGGUAAGCUCUGCAGACUGCACAUAAAAUUAUCUUCCUCCCUUACAACUCAAGAAUAUUGAAUAUGAGAUAUUAAACUUUGUGUUUUGGUUUCUUUGCUUCCGAUAAUGGUUUGUCCUUGAUAAGAAUAUGCUUUGGCAAAGAUGUAUAUUUCUGAAAUAAAAUUACUAAUGUGUGGCGAUUUCUAAAUCUUUUUUUUUUCCCCCAAAUUAUUUGGUGUACCUACAAACCGUUGCAAAAGAAUGACAAGCACAUCAAAACGGCAUUUCUUUGAAACUCAGUUCAUCUUAAUUUGAAAAGUAGAUAGUUGGAUGUACUGAUCUUUCUUUUGUCCACUUUUAAAAUAUUCCUUAACUUUAAAUUGCUUUCUUAACAGAGAAGACAGUUCUUUACAAUUCUUAUAAUAAUGUAUUAUUUUGAAAAAAAAAAUGGGUGUGUUCGUUUAUGGCACACUGAGAUGCUCAAGCAAGGAAAGUACAUUUGAGACAGCCUCAGAUCGACAGUCUGUUUUGAAUGUCAUUCUGCAUGGUGUUGAAAAGUCAAAUUAUUCCUUUCUCAAACAAUUCAGUGUAACAUAGACAAACAGGAGCCCAUCUGCAUUUGGCAAUUGCCCGCACAUACAUUAAAAUGAGUGGGCGUUAAUCAGCCUUAUGAGCACAGUUAGAUGACGAAUGCCAUGUAGAAAGUAUUGGACUUCAGGCCACAUGGUUGUACACUGACCUCUCCCACCAUUGCUCCCCGAGUGAUCAGUGUCAUUUUGAAAUAGUGCAAGGUAAAUCAAGACUUACACAUCAUCUACCAUGCCAGAAGUCUUUGUACUCUUUAAGAGCAACAUGAUGUAUGGAUUUCACUCCCUACUCGAGAAACAAGUGACCAAGGUAUAAAUAUUCUGAGAUGAGACAAAAUACUUUAAAUUUAACUAGUUUUAUAUGAAUCGUUUCAGCUUAACAGAAGGUAGGAUGAUUGUAUGUCUGUAUACUGUUUGUAGAAUGUUUAAACCUUUAUAUGUACACCAUGUAAUUUUAUAUUGAAAUUAUAUUUUCAGGUGUGAUUCACUUGAUUGCAUCUGUAAAAAUAUUGGGGAGAAAUGAGUACUCUAUAACUGCAUUGAAGAUAGAUAUUAGUGAGUUUUGAGUAUUUAAGUAGUAAGUAGUAUUUUGGAAAUUGAAAUUACUUUUGAAGUAUUUAAUUGAAAUUCUAGAAUGCUGACAGCAAUUUUUAACAAAAUGCCAUUUGAUUUCCCAAAAAAUAUUUCCUCAGCAUUUGAAUUUAGUUAUUUAUCAUUAUUGGCAGAGGUUGGUGAGCUGUACAUAAGGUAGAGAAACCUUAGGGCAAUAUAUUAACACAUUUCAAUUCUUAAAUUACUCUGAUCUCCAUAGAUGUGAUUGAUAUCUUACAUUUGUUGAAACAGAACAAUUUUGUUAGAAAUACCGGUACCACAUUUGUUUUCAAAUUAAUAAAUAUAAAAUUCUGUUAUAGAGUAUGUAUAUUACAGAACCAUGUUCAGAUGAUUUUAUUUCUCACAUGUGCAUUGAUAUGUGCUGAAUUAAUAGAACAACUCUUGGUCAUUCAGCUUGCUUCUUCUCGAAUUCAAAAACUUCGUUAUGGGAUGAGUGUUGUAAAGUCUUAAUUGAAACACAAAACCAAGGCUAUAAGCAUAUUGAAAAUGAGAAUCCCAUUCAGACUUGCGCUGUGUGGAAGCAAUGUGGGAAAAGUGACCAUAAAACAGUGCACGUAAUAUUUUGUGAUGUAGUAGACAAGAAAAUGAUGCACAGCAGCAGCCUCAGAUCACUAAAUGUUCCCACAAAUAUUCAAGACGAUUGAUAGAAUUUUUUUUUUAAUCUGUGAGCUGGGGGAAAUCAUGGUUCAUCAAAGACAGGUUAAUAAAAUUCAUUCCAGAAAACACAGUAUGGUUACAAUCUCAAAGCAUUGCUGUUUUACCUUUCAGGUUCUGUUAACUGUCCACUGUCUUGAAAAAUGGCAUUUGCAUCAGUCUGCAGUGUGCAUGCUCUUCUGCACUUACUGCAGUGUGAUCAGAAGUAUCUUGUGUAACAAGCAGUACCAGAUUUAAAUGCAACUAAAUGAAUGAGAUGAGGAAUACUUUGAGUUCAUAACCUACAAACAAACACGUGCUCAUUCCACUUCCAUACAAGGUAUUCCAAACUAGCAGUUCACCCUAACAACACUGCUUAAAUUUGCAUUCAUUCUUGACAUUCAGCUUUGUAACAUUUUUCACAAUGAUUCUCUUAAUGACAAGAUGGAUUUUACACAAAUUAAAGCAGUGCUGUUCCUAAGUCUUGGCUGCAGUUAAAACAAAGAGAGGACAGAUUGUCAUCCAAGAAGUUUAUCCAGCAUUCCACAUGGUUCAAUAUUCAUACAAGCCGUGCGGUAGUUGAUUAGCACUAAUUGAGGCUAGAGGAGUCUUGAUGAUCAUGUGCACAGAAGAAAAAGUUGGUGGACUAAUGGAAGAUGCAAGUUAUCAGGCAUUCCAACUAAUGUUUUAGUACAUUGUUCAUGUCAUCCAACACAAAAUAUUAGUGAAAGAGAGAGAGAGAGAAGGAAUACACAAGAAAGCCAUUACUAAGUGCUACUACCUGAAAAUCAAAUUUAUGAUACAGUUUAAAGUGACAUGGUAUAAUUUGUCAUUCAUUUAGUGUACAGCUUUUAUUUACUGCAGAAAUACACAUCAGACAUCUUCAGAAGCAUGGAUUUCUUUUGUGUGUUUAUAUACAAAUAUUUUGGCAUCAGUUUUCUCUUCAGCGAAAAUUAAGCUUUUGUUGAAAUCAGUUGUGUUAAAGGGAAUUUUGCUACUUGCUGUACAUAACCAAAAGAACCACCACCUGUUGUAAAGAAAGCCUUGAAGUGCAUUGUAACAGUUUGUAAGUCAAAAUAUAUAUAUAGAAUUUACUUAAAUGUCAAUAUAUAACUGCAUUCUCCUUAUAAAUAAGGAUUAGUAACCUACAUGCAAUUCCUGUUCUUUUUAAUAAUUUGAGCAUUUUAAGUAAUUCUUCAAUGUUUAUGCAAAAGGAAUGCAACUGUUAAAUGUCUAAAAGUUUUUUUUUAACCUGGUAAACCUCCAUUAACAAAGAUCACAUAAAAAUGUAGCAUCAUUUAUAAUUUAAUAAUAUUUACAAAGAGCUUCCAUAAAAUGUAAUUCCUUGUUUGACAAAGACUGAUUUUUGUGUACUUGCAUUAAUGCAGUAGCAGUAAUUCUAAUAUUGUUGUGAUUUUCUGCUGUAUACCACUGUAUGUUGAAAGUUUGUUAUUAUGACUUAUUUGGAAACUUCCAACUUUUAUAGAGAGAACUCCUCAAUUGUUAGUAUAGAGGGGAAAAAAUUGUUAAGCUGAAACUUGCAGUGCAUUGGUCAUUAAAAUUUGAUUUUGAUAUGUAGGAGUAAUUUUAUCAUGAAAGGGAAAUUUAAUUUUUUUUUUUUUCCUGUUUUCAUAUCGGAUUGUGUGAGAUUUAUAUGCAUUCUGUUAGAUAAAUGUAUGGCUGUGCAGUUUUGGGAAGUGAACAGAUGUGGUUCUUAUCAUGCGGUAAUGUUUUGUAUAAUGGACAAGAGACCAUGUCUAAUCUACAUUUGACUACCAACCUCACAGUGAAACCUUGUUAUGUUCUGCUUGAUAUUGUGAUCUCUUUUAAUGGUACAAGAAUUGACCUUCAUUACCCUUUCCAAAAUUGUAUACCAUUACAGCAAUAACUAUUAACAUUUCAGAAAUUGAAUUUCUUCUUUAAAUAUAUUAUUUUAUAAUUAAACACUUUUUUCUAACUUAUAUAAACAGAAUUUACAUUAAAUAUGUAAGACUGCUUUUUUUCCCCCCUGAUUUCUCUGCCAGUCUUCCAGAAAUUCACAUGGUUAUACUUUUCACUUUCUGCUGUAGUAAAGCCAAACUUCAGAUUAACAAUGAUUCAGAGGUCAUAGCUGCCCUAUUCUUUGCAGAAAAUGUACUUCAGUAAAUACUACCAUUUAAUUUCCUCGAGUAAUAUUUGUUUCAGCUCAUGGUACAAUAUUUAGAAUACAGCUUACAAAGAAAUUAUGGUGUAUAUAAUUUCUUAAUAUUUUUUAAUCUGGACAUUUUGGUAACAAGGUUUUACUGUCCAGAAAACACUUAAAUCCUUAAUAUAAUGCCAUUAUAACAAGCCAAUAUGUAUGAAGUUUUCCUUUAUAGCAAGCUAAUGGCAAUAAUGUAUAACUAUCACAGUCCUAUUGCUCAUCAUUCUAGGUAGCGUGCAUUUAUUUUUCCAGAAAGUGUUGUUACCAAGUUUGUAUAUAAUGCAUUUCCCAGAAAACACCCUGAGCAGUUUCUAGUAUUAAGUGAGCUCAAGUAGAUGUACUGAUAUUAUUUAAAGGCAAAAAGACAGUGUUUACGUUUCUGUUAGUAAGUUACAGAACCAUGCUACUACUGAGCAGAAACUGUCAAAUCAAGAGUUAA
Long non-coding RNA from Cryptotermes secundus, 5790 nucleotides. RefSeq lists it as uncharacterized. The record is from RefSeq and is a predicted model, not a curated record. The transcript has 2 exons. NCBI's taxonomy places the organism in Eukaryota, Metazoa, Arthropoda, Insecta, Blattodea, Kalotermitidae.